UACAGAGGUCCCGAGCGUUGUUCGGAUUCACUGGGCGUAAAGGGUGCGUAGGCGGUCGGAUAAGUUUGAUGUGAAAUCUCCGGGCUUAACCCGGAAACUGCAUUGAAUACUAUUCGGCUUGAGGUCUGGAGGGGGGACUGGAAUUCUCGGUGUAGCAGUGAAAUGCGUAGAUAUCAGGAGGAACACCGGUGGCGAAGGCGGGUCUCUGGGCCGUAACUGACGCUGAGGAGCGAAAGCAUGGGGAGCGAACAGG
Molecule: ribosomal RNA, 253 nt
Filed under: uncultured bacterium
Lineage: Bacteria
Description: partial 16S ribosomal RNA
Rfam family: Bacterial small subunit ribosomal RNA
Source: RNAcentral